GUCGGAAUAUGGGCGUAAAGAGCUCGUAGGCGGUUUGUCGCGUCUGCUGUGAAAUCUGGGGGCUCAACCCCCAACCUGCAGUGGGUACGGGCAGACUAGAGUGCGGUAGGGGAGAUUGGAAUUCCUGGUGUAGCGGUGGAAUGCGCAGAUAUCAGGAGGAACACCGAUGGCGAAGGCAAAUCUCUGGGCCGUAACUGACGCUGAGGAGCGAAAGCAUGGGGAGCGAACAGGAUUAGAUACCCUGGUAGUCCAUGCCGUAAACGUUGGGAACUAGAUGUGGGGGCCAUUCCACGGUCUCCGUGUCGCAGCUAACGCAUUAAGUACCCCGCCUGGGGAGUACGGCCGCAAGGCUAAAACUCAAAGGAAUAGACGGGGGCCCGCACAAGCGGCGGAGCAUGCGGAUUAAUUCGAUGCAACGCGAAGAACCUUACCAAGGCUUGACAUAUACCGGAAACGUCCAGAGAUGGUCGCCCCGCAAGGUCGGUAUACAGGUGGUGCAUGGUUGUCGUC
Molecule: ribosomal RNA, 510 nt
Filed under: actinobacterium G7B1
Lineage: Bacteria; Bacillati; Actinomycetota; Actinomycetes
Description: bacterial SSU rRNA
Rfam family: Bacterial small subunit ribosomal RNA
Source: RNAcentral